UGCCCGAUAGCCAAGCGGUAAGGCAACGGACUUUGACUCCGUGAAUCGUGGGUUCGAUUCCCACUCGGGCAACCA
This 75-nucleotide transfer RNA is filed under the name Oscillospiraceae bacterium. RNAcentral's name for it is "tRNA-Gln". It matches the Rfam family "tRNA". From Rfam's summary of the family: Transfer RNA (tRNA) molecules are approximately 80 nucleotides in length. Their secondary structure includes four short double-helical elements and three loops (D, anti-codon, and T loops). Lineage: Bacteria; Bacillati; Bacillota; Clostridia; Eubacteriales; Oscillospiraceae. The record is from RNAcentral.